Molecule: ribosomal RNA, 119 nt
Filed under: Pogona vitticeps (central bearded dragon)
Lineage: Eukaryota; Metazoa; Chordata; Lepidosauria; Squamata; Agamidae
Source: RNAcentral
CUCAGCAUAACAGCAUGAAUAUAUCUUGAGUAUAUUUGAUUUCAAAAGCUAAGCAGGGUUGGGUCUGGUUAGUACUUGGGUGGGAGACUAUCAGAUAAUGCCAACGAUUCAAACAGGGC